GGUCCCUUCGUCUAUCGGCUAGGACGUGACCCUCUCAAGGUCGAAAGACGGGUUCAAUUCCCGUAGGGACUG
RNAcentral lists this transfer RNA (72 nucleotides) under Treponema sp. Its description in RNAcentral is "tRNA-Glu". It matches the Rfam family "tRNA". Rfam says of the family: Transfer RNA (tRNA) molecules are approximately 80 nucleotides in length. Their secondary structure includes four short double-helical elements and three loops (D, anti-codon, and T loops). Further hydrogen bonds mediate the characteristic L-shaped molecular structure. tRNAs have two regions of fundamental functional importance: the anti-codon, which is responsible for specific mRNA codon recognition, and the 3' end, to which the tRNAs corresponding amino acid is attached (by aminoacyl-tRNA synthetases). tRNAs cope with the degeneracy of the genetic code in two manners: having more than one tRNA (with a specific anti-codon) for a particular amino acid; and 'wobble' base-pairing, i.e. permitting non-standard base-pairing at the 3rd anti-codon position. Lineage: Bacteria; Pseudomonadati; Spirochaetota; Spirochaetia; Treponematales; Treponemataceae. The record is from RNAcentral.